This 254-nucleotide ribosomal RNA is filed under the name uncultured bacterium. RNAcentral's name for it is "partial 16S ribosomal RNA". It matches the Rfam family "Bacterial small subunit ribosomal RNA", at positions 524 to 776 of the family's 1533-position model. The record is from RNAcentral.
UACGGAGGGUGCGAGCGUUGUCCGGAAUCACUGGGCGUAAAGGGCGCGUAGGCGGCGCGGGAAGUCAUCGGUGAAAGUUCAGGGCUCAACUCUGAAUCGGCCGGUGAUACUCUCGUGCUUGAGCACUGUAGAGGCAGGUGGAAUUCCGGGUGUAGCGGUGGAAUGCGCAGAUAUCAGGAGGAACACCGAUGGCGAAGGCAGAUCUCUGGGCCGUAACUGACGCUGGAGGAGCGAAAGCGUGGGGAGCGAACAGG